Molecule: ribosomal RNA, 205 nt
Filed under: Gavialis gangeticus (Gharial)
Lineage: Eukaryota; Metazoa; Chordata; Crocodylia; Gavialidae
Description: partial 12S ribosomal RNA
Source: RNAcentral
ACAGUCCUACCGUAAACUAGGAGUAUUAAUAACAUACCACACUCGCCAAAAAAUUACGAGCCAUCGUUAAAAACUCAAAGGACUGGACGGUACUUCAAACCCACCUAGAGGAGCCUGUCCUAUAAUCGACAUUACUCGAUAUACCUUACCAACUUUUGCCUUAAACGUCUAACACCCUGUAUACCGCCAAACACAGCAAACAAUC